AAACAGGCUCCAAAAGCUUGUUACUUACUUGUAGUCAAACAGAAAGCAGAGCUGUGAAUCAAAUCCAGGUUUGUCUCGGCAUGCCACUAGCUCAUACUUCUCUUGGAUCAGCCACUAAAUGGCUUUCACUCCAGUGAGCAGCGAGCAGCACCAGAAUUAUGGAACAUUUAUCAACAGCCUAAAAUAAAGGCAAUGCUAGGAGAACUUGGUUGCUUAUGUAGAUUCAAGAUACAAUGCUGCUGGAUUGUGGAGGAGAUAUCAGAAUGUGCAUGCACAGAGGUACGACCAUGUGAAGAGACAGCAGGAGAGCUGCAAUCUACAAGCCAAGGAAAGAGACCACAGAGGAAACCAGUCCUGCCAACACCUUGAUCUUGUACUUCCAUCCUCCAGAACUAACCAGAGACCACAGUCCAUGCUGACGGUAUGGGCUUCUGUCUUCAAGACUGUUGCAAGGCUGCAGGAAAACUUAGAGGCAUCAUCCUGCCUUGGUUUCUGGUUGCCAAGGUAUUCUGUCUGAUACCAACUCUGCCAGCAGUCACCAACUAGCCAUGCUUUUCCCUUGGAGGCACACGUAGAUUGCUCACCAGGCAAACAAUUCUGCAAGUGUCAUGUUCUCUGCAUUUCUUUCAGAUUCAGCCUUAGGCAAGCUUGUGAAGCAAUGACUGUCUUAAUUAGUCCCCUGGGUACCGAGACCUAAUCCUUUCAAGUCACUAGUUAUCCCAUGUUCCUUAUCUAUUUAUCUAUCCAUCCAUCCAUCCAUCCAUCCUCCCAUUCAUUCAUCUAAUACUUACAGAAUGCCUAUGGCUGCUAAUACAAAGAGGACUGCCUGGUUCCUGCUGUCUAUAAACUGACAGCCUGGGAUGAUUGUCCUUUGCAGUUCAGUUCACAUUUCACAUGCUCCAUAAAGUCUCUCUGGGUUUUCAAUGGAUGCCUUGCCUUUUCCUCUACACACUAGAGGAAGGGUAGCCACCCCUGGCAAGGGCCUAGUAUAGUCCCCUAUACAUGUAGCUGUUCAGUUGAUUGCUACUGAUCAUGUGUAUCCUGCAUCAUGUUAUCAAAAACUAACAUAGUGCUUGG
Non-coding RNA from Saimiri boliviensis boliviensis (Bolivian squirrel monkey), 1077 nucleotides. The record is from RefSeq and is a predicted model, not a curated record. Lineage: Eukaryota; Metazoa; Chordata; Mammalia; Primates; Cebidae.